AUUACAAUAUGAGCUUUACUACAAAAAUGAGGCAUUGGAAUUACAAUAUGGGUACAUUACACCGUAAUAUAUCCAAAAAAUACAGUGACUAAGCAUUGGAAUUACAGAGUAAAUCAGAGAAAUAUUACAGAGUGAUGAAGAAGCAUACAUGAAAAUCAUGGGAGUUACACAAGAAACCUGAGGAAAAUUACACUUCACUAUAACUAAAAAAUACAAUGACUAGGCAUGGGAAUUACAGUACAACCAUAAUUACAAAUUUGAAGCAAGGGAACUACAACACGUAAAUAUGGGAAUAUUACACAUUAAUAUAUCCAAAAAAAUAGUUACUAAGCAUGGGAAUUACACAGUAAAUCAAGGGAAUAAUACAGUGUGAUGAAGAAGCCUACAUGAAAUUCAUCAGAAGUACAGUGGAAUUCUGAGGUAAAUACACUGUAAUAUAACUAAAAAAUAUAAUGACUGAGCAUGGGAAUUACACUGCAAAUCAGGUGAAUUACAGUGCAAAGAAGUAAUACAGUGUAAUUCUACAAAAUACAAGCACUAAAUAUGGGAAUUACACCACAAAAUCAGAUAAAUAUUACAGUGCAAAGAAGUAAUAUAGUGUAAUUCCACAAAAUACAGGCACUAAGCAUGGGAAUUACACCGCAAAAUCAGAUAAAUAUUACCGGGUAAGCACAUGGAAAAUGCUGCCAAAUACAUGACCAAUAACACUUGAACCUAACCUUACACUCUAAUACUGGAGGGAUCUAAGACUGAAAACAUAGGGGGCAAUUGCAGGGCUAGAACACAUGAGAUUACAGAAUAGCACAAUCAGGGACAUCCACUGAAGAAUCAUACUCCCAAGGACGAGACACAUUAAGCAUUACAGAGACUCCCACUAGAGCAAAAUCACCAACCCAAACACAUGAAGCAUUACACACGAAUCAUACUCCAACCAGAACAAAACCCAACGGAAACCCUAAAUCUAGACCCCUACCAGCGACUACAGGAAACGAAACACAUACCAGCGCCUACACCCGAGGGGAUUCAGACAUGAAAGAGCUAAAAACCUAAGCAGAGGAACCACAUCAAUUUCAUAGAACUUACACAAACACAUCGGGAGCCAUGGGAAAAAUCUACAAGAGCACAUACACCAAACACGGGCAAGAACAUACACAAUCCAUCAAUCAAACACCAGAACAUACAUGGAUCUCGAAUCGAAACUAGCAGAAACGGAGGAGAAACCUAGAUCACACGGGGGAGAGAGAGAGAGAGACGAGAACAACCAACUGGGGCAGCCGAGGAACGAAGAGCAAGGGAGGAGAAAUCAAGCUCGAAGGGAAGGGGAUCUCAGAAUCGACAUGAAUGACGGGAAUCGCCUCCGCUCCUUCACCGCUCGAGGGCCUCUUCCCCUCUCUCGCUCUCUCAUCUCUGCCUUAUCCAAACAAUACCGCCAAAUGAAAUGGGGAAAAGACACAGAC
RNAcentral lists this ribosomal RNA (1457 nucleotides) under Triticum aestivum (bread wheat). RNAcentral's name for it is "partial small subunit ribosomal RNA". The record is from RNAcentral. Lineage: Eukaryota; Viridiplantae; Streptophyta; Magnoliopsida; Poales; Poaceae.